AAAAAGUGACAGGACUGAAACAUAUACUUUGUUUUAUAUGUUUUAUACUUUGAAACAUUUCGCCGGAUUUGAGUUUUUAAUAAAGUCU
This is a long non-coding RNA of Sinocyclocheilus anshuiensis, 88 nucleotides long. RefSeq lists it as uncharacterized. Lineage: Eukaryota; Metazoa; Chordata; Actinopteri; Cypriniformes; Cyprinidae. The record is from RefSeq and is a predicted model, not a curated record. The transcript is spliced from 4 exons.